UGGGGAAUAUUGGACAAUGGGCGAAAGCCUGAUCCAGCCAUGCCGCGUGUGUGAAGAAGGUCUUCGGAUUGUAAAGCACUUUAAGUUGGGAGGAAGGGCAUUAACCUAAUACGUUAGUGUUUUGACGUUACCGACAGAAUAAGCACCGGCUAACUCUGUGCCAGCAGCCGCGGUAAUACAGCGGGGGCCAGCGUUAAUCGGAAUUACUGGGCGUAAAGCGCGCGUAGGUGGUUUGUUAAGUUGGAUGUGAAAUCCCCGGGCUCAACCUGGGAACUGCAUUCAAAACUGACUGACUAGAGUAUGGUAGAGGGUGGUGGAAUUUCCUGUGUAGCGGUGAAAUGCGUAGAUAUAGGAAGGAACACCAGUGGCGAAGGCGACCACCUGGACUAAUACUGACACUGAGGUGCGAAAGCGUGGGGAGCAAACA
This 427-nucleotide ribosomal RNA is filed under the name uncultured bacterium. Its description in RNAcentral is "partial 16S ribosomal RNA". It matches the Rfam family "Bacterial small subunit ribosomal RNA", at positions 355 to 774 of the family's 1533-position model. The record is from RNAcentral.